CUGCAGCUCAAGUGGUGACCACUAUUAUUGGGCCUGAAACGUUCGUAGCCGGUUUGGUAAAUGCCUGGGUAAAUCGUGUAGCUUAACUAUACGAAUUCCGGGUAGACUGCCAAACUUGAGACCGGGAGAAGCUAGAGGUACUCCUGGGGUAGAGGUGAAAUUCUGUAAUCCUGGGGGGACCACCAGUGGCGAAGGCGUCUAGCUAGAACGGGUCUGACGGUGAGGAACGAAGCCCUGGGGCGCAAACCGGAUUAGAUACCCGAGUAGUCC
This 270-nucleotide ribosomal RNA is filed under the name uncultured archaeon. RNAcentral describes it as "partial 16S ribosomal RNA". It matches the Rfam family "Archaeal small subunit ribosomal RNA", at positions 477 to 747 of the family's 1478-position model. The record is from RNAcentral.